RNAcentral lists this ribosomal RNA (1492 nucleotides) under metagenome. RNAcentral describes it as "bacterial LSU rRNA". It matches the Rfam family "Bacterial large subunit ribosomal RNA", at positions 1443 to 2925 of the family's 2925-position model. The record is from RNAcentral.
GUGCGUGACUGCGAUGGGGGGACGGAGAAGGUUAGGUGUACCGGGCGUUGGUUGUCCCGGGGAAAGGAGGUAGGCAUUGAGCGUAGGCAAAUCCGCGCUCAUCUAUGCCGAGCACCGAGACGAGCCCUAUCGGGCGAAGUCACCGAUACCACGCUUCCAGGAAAAGCCUCUAAGCUUCAGGUCACGCAGACCGUACCGUAAACCGACACAGGUGGGCAGGAUGAGAAUUCUCAGGCGCUUGAGAGAACUUGGGUGAAGGAACUAGGCAACAUGGCACCGUAACUUCGGGAGAAGGUGCGCCUGGAUUGGUGGCUACAUGCGUAGCUGGGCUGAUCCAGGCCGCAGAAACCAGGCCGCUGCGACUGUUUAUCAAAAACACAGCACUCUGCAAACACGAAAGUGGACGUAUAGGGUGUGACGCCUGCCCGGUGCCGGAAGGUUAAUUGAUGGGGUCAGCCGCAAGGCGAAGCUCUUGAUCGAAGCCCCGGUAAACGGCGGCCGUAACAAUAACGGUCCUAAGGUAGCGAAAUUCCUUGUCGGGUAAGUUCCGACCUGCACGAAUGGCGUAACGACAGCGGCGCUGUCUCCACCCAAGACUCAGUGAAAUUGAAAUCGCUGUGAAGAUGCAGCGUUCCCGCGGCAAGACGGAAAGACCCCGUGAACCUUUACUAUAGCUUUACAUUGAACGUUGAGUUCGUCUGUGUAGGAUAGGUGGGAGGCUGUGAACUGUGGUCGCCAGAUCGCAGGGAGCCAUCCUUGAAAUACCACCCUGAUGUGCUUGACGUUCUAACCUGGGCCCGUUAUCCGGGCCGGGGACCAUGUAUGGUGGGUAGUUUGACUGGGGCGGUCUCCUCCCAAAGAGUAACGGAGGAGCACGAAGGUACGCUCAGCGCGGUCGGACAUCGCGCACUGUGUGCAAAGGCAUAAGCGUGCUUGACUGCAAGAUCGACGGAUCAAGCAGGUACGAAAGUAGGUCUUAGUGAUCCGGUGGUUCUGUAUGGAAGGGCCAUCGCUCAACGGAUAAAGGUACUCCGGGGAUAACAGGCUGAUACCGCCCAAGAGUUCAUAUCGACGGCGGUGUUUGGCACCUCGAUGUCGGCUCAUCACAUCCUGGGGCUGUAGUCGGUCCCAAGGGUAUGGCUGUUCGCCAUUUAAAGUGGUACGCGAGCUGGGUUCAGAACGUCGUGAGACAGUUCGGUCCCUAUCUGUCGUGGGCGUUGGAGAUUUGAGAGGGGCUGCUCCUAGUACGAGAGGACCGGAGUGGACGACCCCCUGGUGUUCCGGUUGUCCUGCCAAGGGCAUUGCCGGGUAGCUAUGGUCGGAAACGAUAACCGCUGAAAGCAUCUAAGCGGGAAGCGCGCCUCAAGAUGAGAUCUCCCGGGACACAAGUCCCCUAAAGGAACGAUGAAGACUACGUCGUUGAUAGGUCAGGUGUGUAAGCAGGGCAACCUGUUGAGCUAACUGAUACUAAUGAUCCGUGCGGCUUGACCAA